CCUACGGGAGGCAGCAGUUGGGAAUCUUGGACAAUGGGGGAAACCCUGAUCCAGCCAUGCCGCGUGAGUGAUGAAGGCCUUCGGGUUGUAAAACUCUUUCGACGGGGACGAUAAUGACGGUACCCGUAGAAGAAGCUCCGGCUAACUUCGUGCCAGCAGCCGCGGUAAUACGAAGGGGGCUAGCGUUGUUCGGAAUUACUGGGCGUAAAGCGCGCGCAGGCGGUCUUCCAAGUCAGUGGUGAAAGCCCGGAGCUCAACUCCGGAACUGCCAUUGAAACUGUAAGACUUGAGGACGAGAGAGGUGAGUGGAAUUCCCAGUGUAGAGGUGAAAUUCGUAGAUAUUGGGAAGAACACCGGUGGCGAAGGCGGCUCACUGGCUCGUAUCUGACGCUCAGGCGCGACAGCGUGGGGAUCAAACAGGAUUAGAUACCCUGGUAGUCCACGCCGUAAACGAUGAAUGCUAGCCGUUGGGUAGUCUGUCUAUUCUAGUGGCGCAGCUAACGACAUAAGUACACUUCCGUCCGUCGGGUAGGUACGGCCGGCGAGGUUAGUAACGUACAAAGGAAGUUAGACGGCGUGAGACGUCGCCGACGGACGACCGACGAGGGGAGGUAGG
This 616-nucleotide ribosomal RNA is filed under the name uncultured bacterium. Its description in RNAcentral is "bacterial SSU rRNA". The stretch from base 1 to 522 matches the Rfam family "Bacterial small subunit ribosomal RNA", at positions 338 to 873 of the family's 1533-position model. The record is from RNAcentral.